UUAUACUUUUGAAGCAAGCAUAUCUAAUUUAUAAUGUUAAUUUAAAUUAUAUGAAAAUAAAAUAUUCAUUUGCAGGUGAAAUUGUAUGAAUGUAUAAUUCUUAUUAUAAAUUUUUAAAACUUUUCAAAAAAUUAGGAUUAGAUACCCUAUUAUAAAAAUAUUAUUAAAUUAGGUAGUAAAGAAAUUUCGGAAACCUAAAAAAUUUGGCGGUGUUUUAUAUUUUUGGAGGAACCUGUUAUUUAAUUGAAAUUCCACAUCAAAUCUUACCUUACUUUUGUUUGUAUAUCGUUGUUUAGUCUAUAUCAAGAGAUAUAGACUAUUUUAAAAUUUUUAGAUAUAUCAAAUCAAGGUGCAGCAUAGUAGGGAUAUAAUGGGUUACAAUAUAUUUUAUAUAGACGGAAUUUAAAAUGAAAAUUUUCAUGAAGGUGGAUUCAAAAGUAAUAAAAAAAUAA
This 452-nucleotide ribosomal RNA is filed under the name Iomachus politus. Its description in RNAcentral is "partial 12S ribosomal RNA". The record is from RNAcentral. Lineage: Eukaryota; Metazoa; Arthropoda; Arachnida; Scorpiones; Hormuridae.